This 253-nucleotide ribosomal RNA is filed under the name uncultured bacterium. Its description in RNAcentral is "partial 16S ribosomal RNA". It matches the Rfam family "Bacterial small subunit ribosomal RNA", at positions 524 to 776 of the family's 1533-position model. The record is from RNAcentral.
UACGUAGGUGGCAAGCGAUACUCGGAAUCACUAGGCGUAAAGCGCAGGUAGGCGGUUUAGUAAGUCUUUUGUGAAAGCUCCCGGCUCAACUGGGAGAGGUCAAAGGAAACUACUAGGCUAGAGUUUGGUAGGGGAUACUGGAAUUCCUGGUGUAGCGGUGGAAUGCGCAGAUAUCAGGAAGAACACCAACGGCGAAGGCAGCUCGCUGGGACGGAACUGACGCUAAGGCGCGAAAGCGUGGGGAGCGAACAGG